GGGCGAUUAGCUCAGUUGGUAGAGCAGUUGACUCUUAAUCAAUUGGUCCCGGGUUCGAGUCCCUGAUCGCCCACCA
RNAcentral lists this transfer RNA (76 nucleotides) under Clostridiales bacterium. Its description in RNAcentral is "tRNA-Lys". It matches the Rfam family "tRNA". From Rfam's summary of the family: Transfer RNA (tRNA) molecules are approximately 80 nucleotides in length. Their secondary structure includes four short double-helical elements and three loops (D, anti-codon, and T loops). Further hydrogen bonds mediate the characteristic L-shaped molecular structure. tRNAs have two regions of fundamental functional importance: the anti-codon, which is responsible for specific mRNA codon recognition, and the 3' end, to which the tRNAs corresponding amino acid is attached (by aminoacyl-tRNA synthetases). tRNAs cope with the degeneracy of the genetic code in two manners: having more than one tRNA (with a specific anti-codon) for a particular amino acid; and 'wobble' base-pairing, i.e. permitting non-standard base-pairing at the 3rd anti-codon position. The record is from RNAcentral. Lineage: Bacteria; Bacillati; Bacillota; Clostridia; Eubacteriales.